CAGACCCUAUGUCAAUCAGGUAGACGGCCUGCCCUGGAAGCAGGAGGCUGCAGGUUCGAGUCCUGCCACCCAGACCA
RNAcentral lists this transfer RNA (77 nucleotides) under Variovorax sp. RNAcentral describes it as "tRNA-Pro". The stretch from base 8 to 66 matches the Rfam family "tRNA", at positions 8 to 63 of the family's 71-position model. From Rfam's summary of the family: Transfer RNA (tRNA) molecules are approximately 80 nucleotides in length. Their secondary structure includes four short double-helical elements and three loops (D, anti-codon, and T loops). Lineage: Bacteria; Pseudomonadati; Pseudomonadota; Betaproteobacteria; Burkholderiales; Comamonadaceae. The record is from RNAcentral.